GACGAACGCUGGCGGCGUGCUUAACACAUGCAAGUCGAACGGCAAGGCCCUGCUUUUGUGGUGUUCUCGAGUGGCGAACGGGUGAGUAACACGUGAGUAACCUGCCCUUGACUUUGGGAUAACUUCAGGAAACUGGGGCUAAUACCGUAUAGGAUCUCCUGCUGCAUGGUGGGGGUUGGAAAUUUUCGGCUGUUGGGGAUGGACUCGCGGCUUAUCAGCUUGUUGGUGGGGUAGUGGCUUACCAAGGCUUUGACGGGUAGCCGGCAUGAGAGGGUGACCGGACACAAGGGGACUGAGAGACGGACCAGACUCCUACGGGAGGCAGCAGUGGGGAAUAUUGCACAAUGGGCGGAAGCCUGAUGCAGAAACGCCGCGUGCGGGAUGACGGCCUUCGGGUUGUAAACCGCUUUAGCCUGUGACGAAGCGUGAGUGACGGUAAUGGGUAAAGAAGCACCGGCUAACUACGUG
Molecule: ribosomal RNA, 468 nt
Filed under: uncultured bacterium
Lineage: Bacteria
Description: partial 16S ribosomal RNA
Rfam family: Bacterial small subunit ribosomal RNA
Source: RNAcentral